RNAcentral lists this long non-coding RNA (1281 nucleotides) under Marmota monax (woodchuck). The record is from RNAcentral. Lineage: Eukaryota; Metazoa; Chordata; Mammalia; Rodentia; Sciuridae.
CAGACAACUGAUAACAAGCAUCCCAGGCACCCUGGAGCCAUUCGAUUUCUAUUUCAGUCAGAAGUAGGCUGCCAGGCAAACCUAAAAACUUACCAGUGUUGUAAGUCUGCGAAGAAUCAAAGAGUAAUCCCAGAGCCGCAGAUACUUAAGUAAGAGGCUUUCUAUAAAUCUAGCUUAACAACUCUAUCAGUCAGUAUAGGAUAAGCUACCCCAUGGUAACCAACAGUCGGGGAACCCCGUGGCUUACAGAAGCAAAGCUCUGGGCCUCACCUACAGGAUUUGUCCAUCACAGCCGGUCUGUGGCUCUGCUCAUCAUUUUCAUUCAGAGUCUCAGGAUGACAAAACAGCCCUUAGCUGGGACAAUGCUAGUUUUGUAGCAGAAGUUAAGAAGAGGUGGCAAAUCACAAUGGCUCUUUAAGUUUGGCUCAGAAAUGGCACCUGACACUUCUUAAUUUUCAUUGGACAAGGCAAGUCACAUGGUCAAGCCAACCAUCACUGGAGCAGAGACGAAUAAAUCUCCCCGGGAGUGGGGCUCCAAACCAUCUAUCACAAUAAUAUUAAUUUUUCAAAUAGUUAACAGUAGAGAAUAUUCAUUAAACCUUGACUACUUACCAUCCUAUUAUUUAAUUCUCACAAGAAUCCUAUAGGGUAAACACUGUUAUUACCAUCUUUCAUUAUAAUGAUCAGUAAAAAAUGAGGAAAGAAGAUAAAUAAAUUUUCCAAGGUCACAUACCUGGGAACUGAUGACCUUGGCAUUUGUGUGAAGGUCUUUGAAAACCACAGAUCUCUCUUCUACACUGGAACUGCUUCAGAUGUGUUGUCCAGAAUAAAACUAGCAGGGCCAUCGCUCAGUGGUAGAGUACUUGCUAGUACGUGUGAGGCCCCUGUUCCAUCCUCAGCACUGAAAACAAAACAAAACCCCUCAAAAUAAUGGGGGCGACCUAUAUGAUCGGGACAUGCCUGUGAGUGGUUUUUCUGAGGGUGAUACUGAAUUUUCCCGGCUCAUCUAUAUUUUCUGGCACCAAAAAAUGUGAUAAGCCAUAUAAAUAAAAGUACGUUAGUAUCGUGGUUAACAGUUUAGUGUGAUAUGUACUGUCCCCAAAAUAGCUGCAAAACACCGUGAGAGGUAGAAGACAAGGCAGAUCCUUUGACAGCAGCUUCCUCCGGACAAAGGAGGUAGUAUUUACCAAUGCCACUGGAUUCACAGGGUGUCACGGAAAGCUGACUUUGAUGUCAGACCCAGUGUGGUUUGUUUCCCACCUCUGAAGCUGCCCUGCUAUA